This 465-nucleotide ribosomal RNA is filed under the name uncultured bacterium. RNAcentral's name for it is "partial 16S ribosomal RNA". It matches the Rfam family "Bacterial small subunit ribosomal RNA", at positions 28 to 507 of the family's 1533-position model. The record is from RNAcentral.
GACGAACGCUGGCGGCGUGCUUAACACAUGCAAGUCGAACGGAAAGGCCCUGCUUGCAGGGUACUCGAGUGGCGAACGGGUGAGUAACACGUGGGUGAUCUACCCUGCACUUCGGGAUAAGCCUGGGAAACUGGGUCUAAUACCGGAUAGGAGCCAUUUUUAGUGUGAUGGUUGGAAAGUUUUUUCGGUGUAGGAUGAGCUCGCGGCCUAUCAGCUUGUUGGUGGGGUAAUGGCCUACCAAGGCGGCGACGGGUAGCCGGCCUGAGAGGGUGGACGGCCACAUUGGGACUGAGAUACGGCCCAGACUCCUACGGGAGGCAGCAGUGGGGAAUAUUGCACAAUGGGCGCAAGCCUGAUGCAGCGACGCCGCGUGGGGGAUGACGGCCUUCGGGUUGUAAACUCCUUUCGCUAGGGACGAAGCUUUUUGUGACGGUACCUAGAUAAGAAGCACCGGCUAACUACGUG